Molecule: non-coding RNA, 28 nt
Filed under: Rattus norvegicus (Norway rat)
Lineage: Eukaryota; Metazoa; Chordata; Mammalia; Rodentia; Muridae
Source: RNAcentral
UCCCUAAGUAACUGCGUCUUAUUGAAGA